GAGAUGGAGGUACCGAUGGUGAUAUAGAAAAUGGUGUGAUUUUAGAAAAGGUAGUAAUAAAGAGAAAAGAAUAAAGUGAAAAUAGAAACCCUAGCUAGAAAGGAGAAAAAAGAAGAAAGAGUUUAAAAAGGUUUCACAUAAGUUAUAUUUUAUGCCACAUCAGUGUCAACUAUAUGUUACGUGAUAGCAUGUAACCGUUUAUAUCACAAC
RNAcentral lists this long non-coding RNA (210 nucleotides) under Elaeis guineensis (African oil palm). Its description in RNAcentral is "long non-coding RNA (EGUI_LNC024989)". The record is from RNAcentral. Lineage: Eukaryota; Viridiplantae; Streptophyta; Magnoliopsida; Arecales; Arecaceae.